UACGUAGGGGGCAAGCGUUAUCCGGAUUUACUGGGUGUAAAGGGAGCGUAGACGGUGAAGCAAGUCUGAAGUGAAAGGCGGGGGCUCAACCCCCGGACUGCUUUGGAAACUGUAUAGCUAGAGUGCAGGAGAGGUAAGCGGAAUUCCUAGUGUAGCGGUGAAAUGCGUAGAUAUUAGGAGGAACACCAGUGGCGGAGGCGGCUUACUGGACGGUAACUGACGCUGAGGCUCGAAAGCGUGGGGAGCAAACAGG
Molecule: ribosomal RNA, 253 nt
Filed under: uncultured Eubacteriales bacterium
Lineage: Bacteria; Bacillati; Bacillota; Clostridia; Eubacteriales
Description: uncultured Clostridiales bacterium partial 16S ribosomal RNA
Rfam family: Bacterial small subunit ribosomal RNA
Source: RNAcentral